This 81-nucleotide transfer RNA is filed under the name Kiritimatiella glycovorans. RNAcentral describes it as "tRNA-Ser". Lineage: Bacteria; Pseudomonadati; Kiritimatiellota; Kiritimatiellia; Kiritimatiellales; Kiritimatiellaceae. The record is from RNAcentral.
GUACCCGUAGCCGGCCGCGGCCACGGUGGAGAGGUCGAGUUUUUCGACGUCGUCUCGUUCGAGCUCGAGCCGGGUGUACCA